GGUAUACCCACCUCACUCGGAUCGUCCGGCACGUUCCUGCCGGUGGAGGGUGUGACCA
Molecule: non-coding RNA, 58 nt
Organism: Frankia sp.
Lineage: Bacteria; Bacillati; Actinomycetota; Actinomycetes; Frankiales; Frankiaceae
Source: Rfam